GUGUCAGCAGCCGCGGUAAUACGUAGGGGGCGAGCGUUAUCCGAAUUUACUGGGCGUAAAGCGCGUGUAGGCGGCUUUUUAAGUGAGGUGUGAAAUCCUGUGGCUCAACCACAGAACUGCACUUCAAACUGGGGAGCUUGAAAUUGGGAGAGGAAAGUGGAAUUCCUGGUGUAGCGGUGAAAUGCGUAGAUAUCAGGAGGAACACCCGUGGCGAAGGCGGCUUUCUGGCCCAACAUUGACGCUGAGACGCGAAAGCCAGGGGAGCGAACGGGAUUAGAUACCCCGGUAGUCCUGGCCGUAAACGAUGGAUACUAGGUGUAAGUGGUAUCGACUCCACUUGUGCCGGAGCUAACGCAUUAAGUAUCCCGCCUGGGGAGUACGGCCGCAAGGUUGAAACUCAAAGAAAUUGACGG
This 413-nucleotide ribosomal RNA is filed under the name uncultured bacterium. Its description in RNAcentral is "bacterial SSU rRNA". It matches the Rfam family "Bacterial small subunit ribosomal RNA", at positions 505 to 916 of the family's 1533-position model. The record is from RNAcentral.